UUAAUCUGAAUGAAGAAAUUUGUAUAAAUCCCUCUUAUGGUCUGUCAGAAAAUCUCACAUGGAGUUAAAUUCUGUAUCUUAAACCAGAUUCAUCUUUUUAAUGUGAAGUGUUUUCUAUUCUCUUCAUGUCUGAAAUUACAGGGCUCUUAUGAAGUGAUACAUAUGCCAAAACAUUGCAAACAAAACUUUCUAAGCAGCAAAUGAAAAUAUUAAAUAUUUGCUUUCAAAACUUUUUUUUUUGCUUUAAAAAAUGUUUAAAGCAUUUCUUGUCAUGGUCAGACGUGGAAAGAAAAGUGACCCAAACGCUGAAACCUAGGGAUGGCCCGUUUGACACGGGGCUUCGGCGCGCGGUUCACCUUCAUGAAACAGAGUGUUUCGGCACAAUGUUUCAAAGCGUGUGUCAACCAGCGCAGAUCACGUGAUUGAUGACGUAUGACGCGCCAAAUGCAUCACUCACCUGAACCAGGUUUCAGAUAUCAGGUGUGUUUGAUCAGAAGGGCGAGCUGUUGUCUAUAAAUACAGAUGAAUCCCAAACAACGUUUCCCGACCAGUUCUGUUGUUUCCCGUGUAUCGUAAGAAUCAACGUCAUGGCACCCGGUAAAAAACGUUCUGUGGCUUGGGAUCAUUUCAACUUGAUUUCUCCAAAUAAGGUGCAAUGUUUGAUUUGCAAACAUGAAUUUGCAUUUAAUGAUAGUACGUCCUCCAUGAUGCGACAUCUCCGCUCCGUUCAUCAUGUUGAAACUCCGCAGUCGGCAAAUCAAGCCUUCAAUCCACCUUGUAUUGUGUCAAGAAAGCAAGAACUUGAUUCUGCAUUGGUGGAUAUGAUUGUAAUUGAUGCACAACCAUUUUCAAUUGUUGAAGACAAAGGCUUCAAGGCUUUUGUCAACCUUUUGGACCCAUCCUACAUAAUUCCUAAUAGGAAGGCCUUGAGGACAAUGGUGGAGGAGAAGUACAAAGCCAAAAAGGAGAAGGCUUUAGAUGUGGUUAGCAGGGCCUCUGCUGUCAGCCUUACAGCAGACAUGUGGACAUCCAUUAACAUGGACGCUUACUUGGCUGUAACAUGCCAUUUUAUCACCGAGGAGGUGGAGCUGGCCUCUGUGGUCUUGGGGGUUCUGAAGUUUCCCCAAACCCACACUGCAACUCACUUGGCUGAGGCCAAAAAUCUUCUCAUGGAAGAAUGGGGAAUUAAAAGGAAGGUGCGAGCCAGAUCAAUAAAGUACAAAAUCAUUCAUCAAUAUGGCCUCCCAAUACCUAAUAUACAUGAUUUGUGAACAUGUAAUCUUUCUUCCAGGUGACAGGCCUGGUUACAGACUGUGCUCCCAACAUGGUUGCAUGUGCUAAUAUAUUACUGCUUCGGCACAUAAUGUGUUUUGCACAUAUGCUUAAUUUGGUGGUGAAAAAGUCCCUUGCCCAAACCCCUGAACUAGAGGAUAUCCGAAGUAAGGGGCGUAGGAUUGUCGGUCUUUUUAAAUCCAGCACCACAGCGAAGGAGAAGCUGUCAGAGAUGCAGCGACAGCUGGCCAGGCCAGAGCACAAAUUAAUACAAGAGGUGGAAACAAGAUGGAACAGCACAUUUAAUAUGUUGGAAAGGUUGUUUAAGGAGAGAGAGCCACUGGGGGCAGCUCUGGCCACCCUCCAUACAGACCUUCCUCCACUCACCUCAGAGGACUACCAGGCCAUACACCACUGCUUGAGCGUUCUUUCACCGUUUCAAGAGGCCACAGUUGAGCUUUCGACAGAAAAACGAGUGUCAGCAUCCAAAGUCAUUCCCAUGGUCAAAAUGCUGAAACAUUACAUCUCAAGCAGGUGUGGUCAGAUCACACACCCACUUGGUGAAAAACUGGCCACUAACUUGAAGAACAAUCUCCAUGAGAGGUUUUCAGCUCUGGAGAAGGUCACUGCUCUGUCAAUGGCAACCUUGUUGGACCCAAGGUUUAAAGAGCUGGGGUUCUGCAGCCAAGGCUCUGCCCACACGGCCAUAGAGCGACUCACUAAAGAGUGUGCUGCAACAAUGCAGGCGCUACUUCCAGAGGCACAGCCACAGUCGCCACCUAGAGAAGGUCCUUCAAGUUAGCAGGAAGAUGGUGGUCUCUGGGCCCUGCUGGACAGGCAUGUGGGGGUUCAACAGCAGGUGACCAGCACAACUGCCAGUGCAACAGUGGAGGUUCAGAGGUACUUAAAGGAACCUCACAUCCCAAGGACUCAGGACCCACUGAGAUACCGGGUUACCCACAAGGUUUUAUACCCACAUCUCUACAAGCUGGCAAUGACGUUUUUAUGCACACCAGCUUCAUCUGUGCCUUGUGAGAGGAUCUUCUCCAAGGCUGGCGAAAUCGUCAGCCAAAGACGAAACAGGCUGAAGCCCAGCACAGUGGAGAAAAUUCUGUUUUUUAAUAAAAAUCUACAACAUGUAUCCCACCCAGUCAUGUUAGACCCUGGUUCACAAUCACUCAUUCUCACUUCAUACAUGGCAUUCACAAUGUAACACAAGCACUUCUCACAAAUCUUCAAACAUUGUCUUUGUUUUAUUUCCACACUGAAGUGUUACAAGGGCAAGGAACUUAGUGGAGUAGAUGAUAUACGUCCUGUCUGCCACCAGAUGCCGCUGUUCUGUGUGGUUUCGAAGCCCCAAAUGCUUCAUUCAUUUUUCUGGCACAUUUACACGAAGCCCCAUGAGAGCUUCAUGGGGCUUCGAUUCCCAUCCCUAGUC
This is a non-coding RNA of Oryzias latipes (Japanese medaka), 2710 nucleotides long. The record is from RefSeq and is a predicted model, not a curated record. Lineage: Eukaryota; Metazoa; Chordata; Actinopteri; Beloniformes; Adrianichthyidae.